RNAcentral lists this ribosomal RNA (494 nucleotides) under uncultured bacterium. RNAcentral's name for it is "partial 16S ribosomal RNA". It matches the Rfam family "Bacterial small subunit ribosomal RNA", at positions 30 to 507 of the family's 1533-position model. The record is from RNAcentral.
UGAACGCUGGCGGCGUGCCUAAUACAUGCAAGUCGAGCGAACGGACGCGAAGCUUGCUUCUCUGAUGUUAGCGGCGGACGGGUGAGUAACACGUGGAUAACCUACCUAUAAGACUGGGAUAACUUCGGGAAACCGGAGCUAAUACCGGAUAAUAUUUUGAACCGCAUGGUUCAAAAGUGAAAGACGGUCUUGCUGUCACUUAUAGAUGGAUCCGCGCUGCAUUAGCUAGUUGGUAAGGUAACGGCUACCAAGGCAACGAUGCAUAGCCGACCUGAGAGGGUGAUCGGCCACACUGGAACUGAGACACGGUCCAGACUCCUACGGGAGGCAGCAGUAGGGAAUCUUCCGCAAUGGGCGAAAGCCUGACGGAGCAACGCCGCGUGAGUGAUGAAGGUCUUCGGAUCGUAAAACUCUGUUAUUAGGGAAGAACAUAUGUGUAAGUAACUGUGCACAUCUUGACGGUACCUAAUCAGAAAGCCACGGCUAACUACGUG